CCAGUGGGGAAUAUUGGACAAUGGGCGAAAGCCUGAUCCAGCCAUGCCGCGUGUGUGAAGAAGGUCUUCGGAUUGUAAAGCACUUUAAGUUGGGAGGAAGGGCAGUAAAUUAAUACUUUGCUGUUUUGACGUUACCGACAGAAUAAGCACCGGCUAACUCUGUGCCAGCAGCCGCGGUAAUACAGAGGGUGCAAGCGUUAAUCGGAAUUACUGGGCGUAAAGCGCGCGUAGGUGGUUCGUUAAGUUGGAUGUGAAAUCCCCGGGCUCAACCUGGGAACUGCAUUCAAAACUGACGAGCUAGAGUAUGGUAGAGGGUGGUGGAAUUUCCUGUGUAGCGGUGAAAUGCGUAGAUAUAGGAAGGAACACCAGUGGCGAAGGCGACCACCUGGACUGAUACUGACACUGAGGUGCGAAAGCGUGGGGAGCAAACAGGAUUAGAUACCCCCGUAGUCCGG
This 455-nucleotide ribosomal RNA is filed under the name gamma proteobacterium SCGC AAA044-F16. Its description in RNAcentral is "bacterial SSU rRNA". It matches the Rfam family "Bacterial small subunit ribosomal RNA", at positions 351 to 798 of the family's 1533-position model. Lineage: Bacteria; Pseudomonadati; Pseudomonadota; Gammaproteobacteria. The record is from RNAcentral.